RNAcentral lists this transfer RNA (55 nucleotides) under Shigella flexneri. Its description in RNAcentral is "tRNA-Val". It matches the Rfam family "tRNA", at positions 8 to 60 of the family's 71-position model. Rfam says of the family: Transfer RNA (tRNA) molecules are approximately 80 nucleotides in length. Their secondary structure includes four short double-helical elements and three loops (D, anti-codon, and T loops). The record is from RNAcentral. Lineage: Bacteria; Pseudomonadati; Pseudomonadota; Gammaproteobacteria; Enterobacterales; Enterobacteriaceae.
UGGCUCAGCUGGGAGAGCACCUCCCUUACAAGGAGGGGGUCGGCGGUUCGAUCCC